This 249-nucleotide long non-coding RNA is filed under the name Mytilus galloprovincialis (Mediterranean mussel). Lineage: Eukaryota; Metazoa; Mollusca; Bivalvia; Mytilida; Mytilidae. The record is from RNAcentral.
AUCUUCAGUUCAGAAGGAUACAACAAUAAUCUUUAUAUUCUUUGUUGUGGAAAACUGAAUUUGACUUUUAUCAUUCAGUCUGACGUGCUAGAAAAAAAAUGGCUUGAAAAAAGCUUCACAUUAUUUUUCAUUUCAAAUUAUUAUGUUCCUUCUAUUGUAGGGGGUCUCAUUGGGGGGUUCUGAUCCCGGAUCCUGCUUACUGUUUUGUUAUUAUAAAUGUCGGUUAUUGAUUUGGGGAUGUACGGCGGG